RNAcentral lists this ribosomal RNA (433 nucleotides) under uncultured bacterium. RNAcentral describes it as "partial 16S ribosomal RNA". It matches the Rfam family "Bacterial small subunit ribosomal RNA", at positions 29 to 507 of the family's 1533-position model. The record is from RNAcentral.
AACGAACGCUGGCGGCAGGCCUAACACAUGCAAGUCGAGCGGACCCUUCGGGGUUAGCGGCGGACGGGUGAGUAACGCGUGGGGAUAUGCCCUUCUCUACGGAAUAGUCCUGGGAAACUGGGGGUAAUACCGUAUACGCCCUUUGGGGGAAAGAUUUAUCGGGGAAGGAUUAGCCCGCGUUGGAUUAGGUAGUUGGUGGGGUAAUGGCCUACCAAGCCGACGAUCCAUAGCUGGUUUGAGAGGAUGAUCAGCCACACUGGGACUGAGACACGGCCCAGACUCCUACGGGAGGCAGCAGUGGGGAAUCUUAGACAAUGGGGGCAACCCUGAUCUAGCCAUGCCGCGUGAGUGAUGAAGGCCUUAGGGUUGUAAAGCUCUUUCAGCUGGGAAGAUAAUGACGGUACCAGCAGAAGAAGCCCCGGCUAACUCCGUG